Molecule: ribosomal RNA, 507 nt
Filed under: Colletotrichum horii
Lineage: Eukaryota; Fungi; Ascomycota; Sordariomycetes; Glomerellales; Glomerellaceae
Description: eukaryotic LSU rRNA
Rfam family: 5.8S ribosomal RNA (bases 153-306)
Source: RNAcentral
CCUUUGUGAACAUACCUAUAACUGUUGCUUCGGCGGGCAGGGUCUCCGUGACCCUCCCGGCCUCCCGCCCCCGGGCGGGUCGGCGCCCGCCGGAGGAUAACCAAACUCUGAUUUAACGACGUUUCUUCUGAGUGGUACAAGCAAAUAAUCAAAACUUUUAACAACGGAUCUCUUGGUUCUGGCAUCGAUGAAGAACGCAGCGAAAUGCGAUAAGUAAUGUGAAUUGCAGAAUUCAGUGAAUCAUCGAAUCUUUGAACGCACAUUGCGCCCGCCAGCAUUCUGGCGGGCAUGCCUGUUCGAGCGUCAUUUCAACCCUCAAGCUCUGCUUGGUGUUGGGGCCCUACAGCCGAUGUAGGCCCUCAAAGGUAGUGGCGGACCCUCCCGGAGCCUCCUUUGCGUAGUAACUUUACGUCUCGCACUGGGAUCCGGAGGGACUCUUGCCGUAAAACCCCCAAUUCUCCAAAGGUUGACCUCGGAUCAGGUAGGAAUACCCGCUGAACUUAAGCA